This 288-nucleotide long non-coding RNA is filed under the name Ananas comosus (pineapple). RNAcentral describes it as "long non-coding RNA (ACOM_LNC000186)". Lineage: Eukaryota; Viridiplantae; Streptophyta; Magnoliopsida; Poales; Bromeliaceae. The record is from RNAcentral.
AAGUUUAAAAAUAAAGAAUAAAAAAGAAUAUAAUUUGGAAAAGAAUAUAACAAUAAUUAAGGUCGUAAUAUAGAUUUUUAGCUAAUCUUUGAAUUGAUACGACUAAUGUAAUAUUCUAUAGCAUAAUUUUAUACAGUUUUGUUGUUCGAUAUUCACCUCUUUUUAUUUUUUGACUGUAAGACACAGAAUGAUUUUUUGUGUUACACAAACAUAGAUAAUAGCCAAUCUUCUAAGUAGCCAUUUUUUAAAUAACAGUGAUGAAUAUUCGUUAGUAAUUACGUAUAAUGA